RNAcentral lists this ribosomal RNA (265 nucleotides) under uncultured bacterium. RNAcentral describes it as "partial 16S ribosomal RNA". It matches the Rfam family "Bacterial small subunit ribosomal RNA", at positions 57 to 305 of the family's 1533-position model. The record is from RNAcentral.
GCAAGUCGAGCGAGACGGUUGUGAAAGAUCCUUCGGGUGAUUGAUCAACUAGACAGCGGCGGACGGGUGAGUAACGCGUGGAUAACCUGCCUUAUACUGGGGGAUAACGUUUUGAAAAGAACGCUAAUACCGCAUAAGCGCACAGCAUCACAUGAUGCAGUGUGAAAAACUCCGGUGGUAUAAGAUGGACCCGCGUCAGAUUAGCUAGUUGGUGAGAUAAAAGCUCACCAAGGCGACGAUCUGUAGCCGACCUGAGAGGGUGAUC